GAUGAACGCUGGCGGCGUGCUUAACACAUGCAAGUCGAACGGAAAGGCUCCUGCUUGCAGGGGUACUCGAGUGGCGAACGGGUGAGUAACACGUGGGUGAUCUGCCCUGCACUUCGGGAUAAGCCUGGGAAACUGGGUCUAAUACCGGAUAGGACGAUGGUUUGGAUGCCAUUGUGGAAAGUUUUUCGGUGUGGGAUGAGCUCGCGGCCUAUCAGCUUGUUGGUGGGGUAAUGGACUACCAAGGCGUCGACGGGUAGCCGGCCUGAGAGGGUGUACGGCCACAUUGGGACUGAGAUACGGCCCAGACUCCUACGGGAGGCAGCAGUGGGGAAUAUUGCACAAUGGGCGCAAGCCUGAUGCAGCGACGCCGCGUGGGGGAUGACGGCCUUCGGGUUGUAAACUCCUUUCGCUAGGGACGAAGCGCAAGUGACGGUACCUGGAGAAGAAGCACCGGCUAACUACGUG
RNAcentral lists this ribosomal RNA (465 nucleotides) under uncultured bacterium. RNAcentral's name for it is "partial 16S ribosomal RNA". It matches the Rfam family "Bacterial small subunit ribosomal RNA", at positions 28 to 507 of the family's 1533-position model. The record is from RNAcentral.